GAUGAACGCUGGCGGCGUGCCUAAUACAUGCAAGUCGAGCGAACAGACGAGGAGCUUGCUCCUCUGACGUUAGCGGCGGACGGGUGAGUAACACGUGGAUAACCUACCUAUAAGACUGGGAUAACUUCGGGAAACCGGAGCUAAUACCGGAUAAUAUAUUGAACCGCAUGGUUCAAUAGUUAAAUACGGUUUUGCUGUCACUUAUAGAUGGUUCCGCGCCGCAUUAGCUAGUUGGUAAGGUAACGGCUUACCAAGGCAACGAUGCGUAGCCGACCUGAGAGGGUGAUCGGCCACACUGGAACUGAGAAACGGUCAAGACUACUACGGGAGGCAGCAGUAGGGAAUCUUCCGCAAUGGGCGAAAGCAUGACGGAGCAACGCCGCGUGAGUGAUGAAGGUCUUCGGAUCGUAAAACUCUGUUAUUAGGGAAGAAAAAAUGUGUAAGUAACUAUGCACGUCUUGACGGUACCUAAUCAGAAAGCCACGGCUAACUACGUG
This 497-nucleotide ribosomal RNA is filed under the name uncultured bacterium. Its description in RNAcentral is "partial 16S ribosomal RNA". It matches the Rfam family "Bacterial small subunit ribosomal RNA", at positions 28 to 507 of the family's 1533-position model. The record is from RNAcentral.